ACCAGCAUGAUAUAAUGGAAAGAAUACUUUUCUUGGAAAUCAGAUGCCUGGGUUUGAGUCCCAAUUCUGGUA
RNAcentral lists this transfer RNA (72 nucleotides) under Monodelphis domestica (gray short-tailed opossum). It matches the Rfam family "tRNA". From Rfam's summary of the family: Transfer RNA (tRNA) molecules are approximately 80 nucleotides in length. Their secondary structure includes four short double-helical elements and three loops (D, anti-codon, and T loops). The record is from Rfam by way of RNAcentral. Lineage: Eukaryota; Metazoa; Chordata; Mammalia; Didelphimorphia; Didelphidae.